This 556-nucleotide ribosomal RNA is filed under the name uncultured bacterium. RNAcentral's name for it is "bacterial SSU rRNA". It matches the Rfam family "Bacterial small subunit ribosomal RNA", at positions 60 to 649 of the family's 1533-position model. The record is from RNAcentral.
AGUCGACGAAAAGCAGGGCUUCGGCCUUGUGGACAGUGGCGCACGGGUGAGUAACGCGUGGGGACCUGCCCUAGAGUGGGGGACAACCGCUGGAAACGGCGGCUAAUACCGCAUAAUCCCUGAGGGGGAAAGGCUUCGGCCGCUCUUGGAUGGACCCGCGUCUGAUUAGCUUGUUGGUGAGGUAACGGCUCACCAAGGCGACGAUCGGUAGCUGGUCUGAGAGGAUGAUCAGCCACACUGGGACUGAGACACGGCCCAGACUCCUACGGGAGGCAGCAGUGGGGAAUAUUGGACAAUGGGCGAAAGCCUGAUCCAGCAAUGCCGCGUGAGUGAAGAAGGCCUUAGGGUUGUAAAACUCUUUCACCCGUGAAGAUGAUGACGGUAGCGGGAGAAGAAGCCCCGGCUAACUCCGUGCCAGCAGCCGCGGUAAUACGGAGGGGGCUAGCGUUGUUCGGAAUUACUGGGCGUAAAGCGCACGUAGGCGGCGCAUCAAGUCAGAGGUGAAAGGCCUGGGCUCAACCUGGGGACUGCCUUUGAUACUGAUGUGCUUGAGUCC